GUGAGGAAUAUUGCGCAAUGGAGGCAACUCUGACGCAGCCAUGCCGCGUGCAGGAAGAAGGCGCUACGCGUUGUAAACUGCUUUUAACCGGGAAGAAACCCCAGGACGUGUCCUGGGUUGACGGUACCGGAGGAAUAAGCACCGGCUAACUUCGUGCCAGCAGCCGCGGUAAUACGAAGGGUGCAAGCGUUAUCCGGAUUCAUUGGGUUUAACGGGUGCGUAGGCGGAGCGUUAAGUCAGUGGUGAAAUCCUGCAGCUUAACUGUAGACUUGCCAUUGAUACUGGCGCUCUUGAGUGCGCUUGAAGUGGGCGGAAUGUGCCGUGUAGCGGUGAAAUGCUUAGAUAUGGCACAGAACACCAAUUGCGAAGGCAGCUCACUAAGGCGAUACUGACGCUGAGGCACGAAAGCGUGGGGAUCGAACAGGAUUAGAUACCCCAGUAGUCC
Molecule: ribosomal RNA, 445 nt
Filed under: uncultured bacterium
Lineage: Bacteria
Description: partial 16S ribosomal RNA
Rfam family: Bacterial small subunit ribosomal RNA
Source: RNAcentral